GGCGACCGGCGCACGGGUGAGUAACACGUAUGCAACCUACCUUCCACAGGGGAAUAGCCCGGAGAAAUCCGGAUUAAUACCCCAUAACACAGGGAUCCCGCAUGGGAAUAUUUGUUAAAGAUUAAUCGGUAGAAGAUGGGCAUGCGUUCCAUUAGCCAGUUGGUGAGGUAACGGCUCACCAAAGCAACGAUGGAUAGGGGAACUGAGAGGUUUAUCCCCCACACUGGAACUGAGACACGGACCAGACUCCUACGGGAGGCAGCAGUGAGGAAUAUUGGUCAAUGGACGCAAGUCUGAACCAGCCAAAUCGCGUGAAGGAAGACUGCCUUAUGGGUUGUAAACUUCUUUUAUAAGGGAAUAAAAAAAGUCACGUGUGAUUUAUUGCAUGUACCUUAUGAAUAAGCAUCGGCUAACUCCGUGCCAGCAGCCGCGGUAAUACGGAGGAUGCGAGCGUUAUCCGGAUUUAUUGGGUUUAAAGGGUGCGCAGGCGGGCCCUUAAGUCAGCGGUGAAAUCUCGAGGCUCAACCUCGAAAUUGCCGUUGAAACUGGGGGCCUUGAGUAUAGAUGAAGUAGGCGGAAUUCGUUGUGUAGCGGUGAAAUGCAUAGAUAUAACGAGGAACCCCAAUUGCGUAGGCAGCUUACUAAACUAUAACUGACGCUCAAGCACGAAAGCGUGGGUAUC
This 682-nucleotide ribosomal RNA is filed under the name uncultured bacterium. RNAcentral describes it as "bacterial SSU rRNA". It matches the Rfam family "Bacterial small subunit ribosomal RNA", at positions 90 to 769 of the family's 1533-position model. The record is from RNAcentral.